This 66-nucleotide transfer RNA is filed under the name Osmia bicornis (red mason bee). Its description in RNAcentral is "tRNA-Trp". The record is from RNAcentral. Lineage: Eukaryota; Metazoa; Arthropoda; Insecta; Hymenoptera; Megachilidae.
AAGAUUUUAAGUUAAAUAAAACUUUCAACCUUCAAAGUUGAUUAUAUAAUAUAUUUUUAAAUCUUA